GCAAGUCGAACGGGAUUUAGUAGACGGAAGCCUCGGUGGAAGAUUACUAAUGAGAGUGGCGAACGGGUGAGUAACGCGUGAGCAACCUGCCUAUGACAGUGGGAUAGCCUCGGGAAACCGGGAUUAAUACCGCAUAAAAUCGUAGAAACACAUGUUUCAACGGUCAAAGAUUUAUCGGUCAUAGAUGGGCUCGCGUCUGAUUAGCUAGUUGGUGAGAUAACAGCCCACCAAGGCGACGAUCAGUAGCCGGUCUGAGAGGAUGAACGGCCACAUUGGAACUGAGACACGGUCCAAACUCCUACGGGAGGCAGCAGUGGGGAAUAUUGCACAAUGGGGGAAACCCUGAUGCAGCGACGCCGCGUGAGCGAUGAAGGCUUUCGAGUCGUAAAGCUCUGUCCUAUGGGAAGAUAAUGACGGUACCAUAGAAGAAAGCCCCGGCUAAUUACGUGCCAGCAGCCGCGGUAAUACGUAAGGGGCGAGCGUUGUCCGGAAUUAUUGGGCGUAAAGAGUGCGUAGGCGGCAAAUUAAGUCAGAUGUGAAAACUAAGGGCUCAACCCCUAGAUUGCAUCUGAAACUGAUAUGCUUGAGUCAAGGAGAGGAAAGUGGAAUUCCUAGUGUAGCGGUGGAAUGCGUAGAUAUUAGGAGGAAUACCGGUGGCGAAGGCGACUUUCUGGACUUGAACUGACGCUGAGGCACGAAAGCGUGGGGAGCAAACAGGAUUAGAUACCCUGGUAGUCCACGCCGUAAACGAUGAGUGCUAGGUGU
Molecule: ribosomal RNA, 765 nt
Filed under: uncultured Eubacteriales bacterium
Lineage: Bacteria; Bacillati; Bacillota; Clostridia; Eubacteriales
Description: bacterial SSU rRNA
Rfam family: Bacterial small subunit ribosomal RNA
Source: RNAcentral